This is a long non-coding RNA of Armigeres subalbatus, 1372 nucleotides long. RefSeq lists it as uncharacterized. NCBI's taxonomy places the organism in Eukaryota, Metazoa, Arthropoda, Insecta, Diptera, Culicidae. The record is from RefSeq and is a predicted model, not a curated record. The transcript is spliced from 4 exons.
AAUAACUGAUACGCAUACGAAUCAAGCGAGAAAGCACGACAAAGUGAGAAAAAUCCAAAAUGGCUACAAUUGUCAAAAAGGAAUUUUGCUGAUCCCCUCUUUUCGUCCGAGAAAUAUCCAGACACAUACAGCUUAGAAACAUACGUCUACUGCUCCAAAAGUCAAGCGGGCGAGAGUGGAUGACGGCGAGUCUUAUCGGUUCAUCUGUUCGUAUCUGGGAAACGGCAAUUGCCGGUAUUCCCAUUGGGCAGCAGUUUUCCUUUGCGAUGGUUUAUCCACAGGAGCACCAGAAUCCGACACAGUCACAGACCAGCCAGUAACAGCAUCACAUUAUCGCUGAUAGCGAUCAUGAAAAGAUUCCUUUAUCGAGCAUUGAUGACUAAUGAGAAAAGAAGAUGCGUUGACGGCUCAAUUUAGGUACUAUGGAAAAUAUUGUCUGGAAAGUGAUACGACGGUAAGUAGAUUGUCUGUUUAUACGACGAUAAUUUGCAACGACGAUACUCCUGCAGCUGCAGCUCCUGUCUAGCAGAGCACGACCGCUCCAAUAUUAACAUCCUGAUAUGUGCGUCAUCCCAAUAAUUGCUCCGCCUAGGAAAAUUUUAAAAGUUCCCAGAAGAAGACUCAGCAGCUCGCUCGGUCUCGCAGAUUAUGAACACGUUGAUGCAUCACAAAAUCCAAGAUCACCUGCAGAAGGACGUACUUUUAUCGUGCUCAAAACCACACCACCGAUGGCAGGAUGCGAUGACGGAUAUUACUCUUCUGCCCACAACGAGAAUGAAAUAACGGUCAAGUUCUUUUUUCGUGCAAUGAAGGCAUAGGACUCAUCUUCUGCAAUCAGGUGCUGUGCAAACUGGCAGAGCAGCGCUGUCGUAGGCGUUGGCUAUUUACCCGAAGCUCGACCCGAAGAACUUGAACAUCGUAAUUCACGAUGCAGUUCUUCCUGAGGAAAUCGAUACAAACACUGAUGUGCAAGUUCCAUUGCUACCAAAACCAACAUAAAUGAGGCUACCGAGGUCGAUACGAAAAUUAAACCUCCGGCGAUAAUACCAUUUUGUACCGAUAGAAAAUUAUCACUGCAAGCCUGUCAUCAGCGAGGUCAUCAGCAGAGUGAUCAACUGCAAUGAGGAUGUGUCAUCAUGUGUCGAAAUGAUAUCUUUCGAUGCUGCUAUAACGACACAUGUUUAAUGUUGGACGUUUUGCGUCUGAUUUUCUUCAACUCCGCCAAUUAUGUUUAUGCCUAGUGCUUGAAAAUGAUGUCAGCUCCAAACAUUUGUGAAUUUCAAUUAUUACCGGUAAACCCAAAUUCAUAGUGUGUACCAUAUACUGAUUUAUAAUGUUUAUAAGAAUAAAUUCAAACAAUAUUUAAAAAAAA